Molecule: unclassified non-coding RNA, 352 nt
Filed under: soil metagenome
Description: partial contains 5.8S ribosomal RNA, internal transcribed spacer 2, and large subunit ribosomal RNA
Rfam family: 5.8S ribosomal RNA (bases 1-120)
Source: RNAcentral
GAUGAAGAACGUAGCGAAAUGCGAUAAGUAAUGUGAAUUGCAGAAUUCAGUGAAUCAUCGAAUCUUUGAACGCACAUUGCGCCCGCCAGUAUUCUGGCGGGCAUGCCUGUUCGAGCGUCAUUACAACCCUCAGGCCCCCGGGCCUGGCGUUGGGGAUCGGCGGAGCCCCCCGUGGGCACACGCCGUCCCCCAAAUACAGUGGCGGUCCCGCCGCAGCUUCCAUCGCGUAGUAGCUAACACCUCGCGACUGGAGAGCGGCGCGGCCACGCCGUAAAACACCCAACUCUUCUGAGGUUGACCUCGAAUCAGGUAGGAAUACCCGCUGAACUUAAGCAUAUCAAUAAGCGGAGGA